UUCGAAGCUUAAGAGGGUGUACGACGAAUGCCUAGGGACAAGGCGCCGAAGAAGGACGCGUAAGCGGCGAAACGCCGCGGGGAGCUGCACAAAAGCGAUGAUCCGCGGAUAUCCGAAUGGGGAAACCCGGCAGAGCAAUACUCUGUCACUCACAUCUGAACACAUAGGGUGUGUAGAGGGCACCUGGUGAACUGAAACAUCUAAGUAACCAGAGGAAAAGAAAUCGAAUGAGAUUCCGUAAGUAGCGGCGAGCGAAAGCGGAAAUGGCCAAACCGGUUGGCUUGCCAACCGGGGUUGUAGGGCCACCACAAACCACUUCCUCGAAUUGAGCCUUUGGGUUCAGUUCGAGGGGUUUGAAAAGGGAUUGAUAAGGUUAACAGAACAGGAUUGGAAAGUCCGGCCGUAGAGAGUGAUAGCCUCGUAUGCUAAAAACCAAACCCAAUUUCAGGUGGUACCUGAGUAGCACGGAGCACGUGGAACCCCGUGUGAACCUGCGCAGACCACUGCGUAAGCCUAAAUACGCCUUGUCACCGAUAGUGCAUCCAGUACCGUGAGGGAAAGGUGAAAAGAACCCCGGGUAGGGGAGUGAAAUAGAACCUGAAAUCGUACGACCCACAAACAGUCAGAGCGCUAUGUUCGGAGCAAUCCGGACCUGCGUGAUGGCGUACCUUUUGCAGAAUGAGCCUGCGAGUUGUCGGUGUUGGCAAGCUUAAGUGUUUUAGACACGGAGGCGGAGAGAAAUCGAGUCCGAAUAGGGCGUCAAGUCAGCAUCGGCAGACCCGAAACUGCAUGAUCUUGCCAUGGCCAGGCUGAAGUGGUGGUAACACACCAUGGAGGGCCGAACUCAUUGAUGUUGAAAAAUCUCGGGAUGAGCUGUGGUAAGUCCGGUGAAAUGCCAAUCGAAUGCAGAGAUAGCUGGUUCUCCCCGAAAUGCAUUGAGGUGCAGCGUUUUGCGUUGUUCCUGGGGGGUAGAGCACUGAAUGGGCUAGGGGGCUUACCCGCUUACCGAACCCAACCAAACUCCGAAUACCCAGGAAUUAGCAAGGCAGUGAGACUGCGAGUGAUAAGAUCCGUAGUCAAAAGGAAAACAAUCCAGAUCGACAGCUAAGGGCCCUAAACGUGGACUAAGUGUGAAACGAUGUGAGAUCGCGUAAACAGCCAGGAGGUUGGCUUGGAAGCAGCCAUCCUUUAAAAAGUGCGUAACAGCUUACUGGCCGAACGUGAUCUUGCGCGGAUAAUGUAAGGGGGCUAAAGUCCACUCCCGAAGCUUCGGGAUCAUCGUAAGAUGAUCGGUAGGGGAGCGUCGUGUUCAGCAGUGAAGCUAGAGCGUAAGCACUGGUGGAGCGGACACGAGUGAGAAUGCAGGCAUGAGUAGCGAUAACACAGGUGAGAAUCCUGUGCGCCGAAAACCCAAGGUUUCUCCGGCUAUGUUCGUCAGACGGAGGUUAGGCGGUCCCUAAGGUGAGGCCAGAAGGCGUAGCCGAUGGACAUCCAGUAGAUAUUCUGGACCCAGGUAUAAGAGCCAUGGGAAGACGCUUCUUGAAGUUCCAUCCCGGACCGUUGGUUGUUCCGGGCUAGGAGGAGGCUGGGCCCGAUGAGAGUUGGGCGUAAAGGCCGAUCCCGGCGAAGGGCGCUCUUCGGAGCAAACGAAGUGGAACUGAGGGGGGCCUAGAAAAUCCCCGCAGCGUUAAUCUUAUAUCUGACCGUACUGUAAACCGACACAGGUGGGUGAGUCGAGGAGACUCAGGCGUUCGAGAGAACUCUCGUUAAGGAACUAGGCAAAUUGACCCCGUAAGUUCGCAAGAAGGGGUGCCCCGCAAGGGGCCGCAGCAAAGCAGCCCAGGCGACUGUUUACCAAAAACACAGGUCUCUGCUAAGGUGAAAACCGAUGUAUAGGGGCUGACGCCUGCCCAAUGCCAGUAGGUUAACAGGAGAUGUCAGCGUAAGCGAAGCAUUGAAUCGAAGCCCUGGUGAAUGGCGGCCGUA
RNAcentral lists this ribosomal RNA (1986 nucleotides) under Armatimonadota bacterium. RNAcentral's name for it is "Armatimonadetes bacterium (activated sludge metagenome) partial 23S ribosomal RNA". It matches the Rfam family "Bacterial large subunit ribosomal RNA", at positions 1 to 1938 of the family's 2925-position model. The record is from RNAcentral. Lineage: Bacteria; Bacillati; Armatimonadota.